AUGAGCGGUGGUGAUGGUCGGCGACGGAGACCGUCGGCCGGAGGAGGUGGCGUCGGCGGCGUCGGCGGCAGCUGGGGCGGUCGGAGGUCUGGAUCUUCGGCGGCAAAGGAACAGCGGACACGGCUGGGCGCGGAGGAGCUCCUCGAGGGCCGGCUUGGCUUCGCGCCCUACACCCAAGGCGACCGCCGGCUUGGCUGGCUCCUCACCUUCUCCCCCUCAUCAUGGGAGGAUGAGGAUACAGGGAAUAUCUACAGCUGUGUUGACCUGUACUUUGUGUCCCAGGAUGGUUCUACAUUUAAAGUGAAGUACAAAUUCCCGCCUUAUUUUUAUGCUGCAACUAAGGAGAAGACGGAGUUGGAAGUUGAGGCGUAUCUCAGGCGACGUUAUGAAGGGGAAAUCGCUGAUAUAGAAAUAAUUGAAAAAGAGGAUCUGGAUCUUAAAAACCACCUUUCUGGUUUGAAGAGAAAAUAUUUGAAGAUUCAGUUCGAUACCGUGCAGCAAUUAAUGCGUGUAAGGAGUGAUCUAAUGCAUGUUGUUGAAAAGAAUGAAGAAGAAAGAGAUGCCGUGGAUGCAUUUGAAUCAAUUUAUGGUGUAAAAAGGGUAGAAAGGCCACAAGAUUACAUAAACUGCAUCAUCGAUUUGCGUGAAUACGAUGUUCCCUAUCAUGUUCGUUUCGCUAUAGAUAAUGAUGUGAGAUCUGGACAGUGGUAUAAUGUUGGUGUAUCUGGUUCUGAUGUUUUGCUUCAGAGAAGGGAAGAUCUGCUUCAGCGUGCAGAAGUUCAUGUAUGUGCAUUUGAUAUUGAGACCACAAAGCUUCCCUUGAAGUUUCCAGAUGCUGAAUACGACAGUGUAAUGAUGAUCUCCUACAUGAUAGAUGGGCAAGGGUACUUGAUAAUCAACCGAGAGUGUGUAGGGGAAGACAUUGAAGAUUUGGAAUACACACCUAAACCAGAAUUCGAGGGGCAUUUUAGAGUUAAGAAUGUCGCAGACGAGGUGGGUCUACUUAAAGCUUGGUUUUCUCACAUGCAAGAGGUUAAACCUGGUAUUUAUGUUACGUACAACGGUGACUUUUUUGACUGGCCGUUUUUGGAGAAGAGAGCUGCCCACCAUGGGAUAAAAAUGAAUGAGGAGAUUGGUUUCCAAUGCGACAGUAAUCAAGGUGAAUGCCGAGCUAAAUUUUCCUGUCAUCUUGACUGUUUUGCCUGGGUGAAGCGAGACAGUUACCUUCCACAGGGAAGCCAAGGUCUAAAGGCUGUUACAAAAGCCAAGCUUGGUUAUGAUCCUCUGGAGGUCAAUCCAGAAGAUAUGGUUCGCUUUGCAAUGGAGCAGCCACAGACAAUGGCUUCUUAUUCUGUAUCAGAUGCUGUUGCCACAUACUACUUAUACAUGACUUAUGUCCAUCCAUUUAUCUUCUCCCUUGCGACCAUAAUACCUAUGUCACCUGAUGAGGUGUUGCGGAAAGGAAGUGGGACUCUAUGUGAAAUGCUGCUAAUGGUCCAGGCAUUCCAGGCUAAUAUCAUUUGUCCUAACAAGCACCAAGCUGAUCUGGAGAAGUUUUACAAUAACCGUCUAGUAGAAAGCGAAACAUACAUCGGUGGUCAUGUUGAGUGUCUUGAAACUGGUGUAUUUAGAUCUGAUCUUCCUACAAAAUUUCAGCUGGAACCCUCAGCAUUUGAGCAACUAAUUGAAAACCUUGACCGUGAUCUGCAAUAUGCCAUUGCUGUAGAAGGAAAAUUGGAUAUUGAUUCUGUCACAAAUUAUGAUGAAGUCAAGGAUGCCAUAAAGCAAAAGCUUGUUUCAUUGCGAGACCACCCAACUCGUGAAGAAUGCCCUCUUAUAUAUCAUCUGGAUGUUGCUGCAAUGUAUCCAAAUAUCAUUUUGACAAAUAGGCUCCAGCCACCAUCCAUAGUUACAGAUGUGGACUGCACAGCAUGUGAUUUCAAUCGCCCUGGAAAGAAUUGCCUUAGAACGCUCGAAUGGGUCUGGCGAGGAGAAACCUACACGGCAAAAAAGAGUGACUAUCAUCAUAUAAAGAGGCAAAUUGAGUCAGAGAUGAUUCAAACUGGUGGGGUUACAUCUUCAAAGCCUUUCCUCGACCUCUCAAAACCAGAGCAUUUACUAAAGCUGAAGGAUCGUUUGAAGAAGUACUGCCAGAAGGGGUACAAAAGAGUAGUUGACAAACCAAUUACAGAAGUUAGAGAAGCUGGAAUAUGCAUGCGUGAAAAUUCUUUCUACGUAGAUACAGUGCGAAGCUUUCGUGAUAGAAGGUAUGAAUACAAAGGCCUGAAUAAAACAUGGAAAGGAAAACUAUCAGAAGCAAAAGCCAGUGGAAAUUCUAUCAAAAUUCAGGAAGCACAGGACAUGGUUGUGCUAUAUGAUUCUUUGCAACUUGCUCACAAGUGCAUAUUAAAUUCUUUUUAUGGAUAUGUUAUGCGCAAGGGUGCAAGAUGGUACUCUAUGGAAAUGGCUGGUGUUGUAACAUAUACUGGUGCAAAAAUCAUCCAAAAUGCUCGAUUACUUGUAGACAAAAUUGGAAGACCACUGGAACUCGACACAGAUGGCAUUUGGUGUGUUUUGCCUGGUUCUUUCCCAGAGAAUUUUACUUUCAAGACAAAAGCUGAGAAGAAGCUCACAAUAUCUUAUCCAUGUGUGAUGCUUAAUGUUGAUGUUGCAAGAACCAACACCAAUGAUCAAUAUCAAACAUUGAAAGAUCCUGUAAGCAAGCUAUACACAACAAAUAGUGAAUGCUCCAUCGAGUUUGAGGUAGAUGGACCAUACAAGGCCAUGAUUCUACCUGCCUCUAAAGAGGAAGGGAUUCUGAUAAAGAAGAGGUAUGCUGUCUUCAACGAAGAUGGCACCCUGGCAGAACUUAAAGGCUUCGAGAUUAAGCGUCGAGGUGAGCUGAAGCUCAUCAAAGUUUUUCAGGCGGAGGUAUUCGAUAAAUUUCUCCAUGGCUCUACUUUAGAGGAGUGCUAUGCAGCUGUUGCCUCUGUUGCUAACCGCUGGUUAGAUCUACUGGACAAUCAAGGAAUUGAUAUUUCUGACAGUGAGUUGCUUGGGUUCAUAUCGGAGUCAAGCACAAUGAGUAAGUCCCUUGUUGACUAUGGAGAACAGAAGUCAUGUGCUGUAACUACAGCAAAAAGACUUGCAGAAUUCCUUGGAGAUUCAAUGGUUAAAGACAAAGGACUGCACUGCCAAUAUAUAGUUGCCCGAGAGCCACAAGGCACCCCAGUGAGCGAGCGUGCUGUUCCGGUGGCUAUUUUUGAGACAGAUGCUGAGGUCGCAAAGUUCUAUUUAAGAAAAUGGUGCAAAGUCUCCACGGAAGCAAACAUCCGAUUUAUUCUUGAUUGGUCUUACUACAAGCAGCGCCUAAGCUCGGCUAUUCAGAAGAUCAUAACUAUUCCUGCAGCGAUGCAAAAGAUUUCAAAUCCUGUUCCCCGAGUUCUUCAUCCUGAUUGGUUGCAUAAAAAGGUCAGAGAGAAGGAUGACCGAUUUCGUCAACGCAAACUACGUGAUAUGUUCAGUCCCUUGAAUAAAGACAUGGGGAUGCAUAACUUGAAUGGAACUGGAGACAUAGAAGAUUUGUUAACAUCAGACAAAGGUUUGAGAAAAGCUACUGCAUCCCAUGGUUUUAACAUCGGCAAAGAAAAUCAUCCAAAUGGGUCACCAUCAGCAAAAGCUAGUUUGGGUCAUUGCAAAAACCAGCAAAAAUCUGUAAUCAGGUCAAAUGAACCACUCCGAGAUGACUCUGCUGAUGAAAUAGUUGAUAGAAGUACUGAUUAUCAAGGAUGGCUUGAGGCCAGGAAGAGAAAAUGGAAAUAUGUCCGUGAACAGAAGAAACGUCGAAGGUUGGGUGCUGCAGCCUCUUCUGAGGGUCCCAGUAAUAAUUUGUUUUCUGCAAGAAAUGACAGUCAGUUACAUGGCAAUGGUAGGAAUCGGUCUACAUUUUUCCAGAAACAAGAAUUGUCCCUCUUUAGAUCACAUUGGCAGAUAAUCCAGCUUGCUCCAAGUACAUUGCCUGGCCGUUUUUUUGCAUGGGUUGUUGCUGAGGGGAUCAUGUUCAAGAUUCCCAUCAAUGUGCCUAGAGUUUUCUACCUAAACUCAAAAGCUCCUAUCACAGAUGAGUUUCCAGGAAGGCGUGUAAAGAAGAUUCUUCCUCAUGGAAAACCAUCUUUCAAUCUCAUCGAGGUUGUAACUAGUGAAGAACAGUUCAGGGCUGAAGGAAGAAAACUUGCUGCUCAUCUUGCAGAGCCAGAUGUUGAAGGCAUAUAUGAGACGAAAAUUCCACUGGAGCUAAAUGCUAUUCUCCAAAUUGGUUGUGUCUGCAAAGUGGACAAAUCUGCGGAGAAACGAAAUAUCCAAGAUGGAUGGGAUCUUGCUGAGUUGCAAAUGAAAACAACUGCAGAGUUCUCAUACCUGGAACAAACAGUUUCAUUUUUCUAUCUAUACCACAGUGUGUCUGAAGGAAGGGCUGUAUAUGUCAUGUACUUCCCUACAUCUCUCAGAGUACAUGCAGUGGUUAUCAAUCCUUUCCGUAAUAAAGAACUGUCACCUGCGUUUCUUGAAAAGCAAUUUCGGGAUGCUUGCCAGACUCCUGACCCUUUGCAUGAAAAUCUCACUUUCCAGGUGGACUACCACACAUCAAUGGAUGCAGGUAGCAAAUAUGUGCAACGAAUGUUACUUGAGUACAGACAACAACAUCCUGGACCUGUCAUAGGCAUCAUUGAAUGCCCUAAACUCCAAGCUAUAAGGGAAUCUGUACGUGCACUUGAUGAUUUCCCGUGUGUAACCAUUCCUUGCAAUGCACGGGAUAACAACUAUCAGGCUCUUGGUUGGCAAGCGACAGCUGGUAGAACAAGCAUGCAGCGCUGUGCUGCAUCAACUCAAUGGUUCAAUGAAAGAAUUUCACUUGCUAGAUAUGCACAUGUGCCAUUGGGAAACCUUGAACUUGAUUGGCUUCUUUUUACUGCUGAUGUGUUCUUCUCAAGGGCAUUGCAUGAUCAACAACAGGUACUAUGGAUAUCUGAUGAUGGUAUUCCUGAUUUAGGCGGCACAUAUGAAGGAGAUACAUGCUUUGCUGAUGAAGUCAUACAACCUGCACUAACAUAUCCUGGCGCUUAUAGGAGGAUUUCUGUUGAGCUUAAGAUUCAUCAUUUGGCGGUUAAUUCUCUCCUUAAGAGUAGUCAAGUGGAUGAAAUGGAAGGAGGAUCUAUCGGCAACUUUGAAAAUGACAUUCCUCCUGGUCCAAAUGCCACCGAAACUGACUAUAAUGACGCCAGCUUGUGUCUACCUGCUUUCCAAGUGCUGAAGCAACUCAUUCAAAGAUGCAUCUCGGAUGCAGUGUCUUCUGGAAAUGUAUUUGCUGAUGCGAUAUUGCAACAUCUCUACCGUUGGCUUUGCAGCCCACGAUCAAGACUUCAUGACCCAGCUCUCCAUCGCCUCCUUCAUAAUGUCAUGAAGAAGGUCUUUGCUCUAUUGUUAGCUGAGUUUCGAAAGCUUGGAGCUAAUGUUAUCUUUGCAAACUUUUCUAAGAUAAUCAUAGAUACCGGAAAAGUGGACUUGCCGUCAGCACGUGCAUACUGUGAUAGCUUGCUGAAAACCUUACAGACAAGGGAUCUUUUCGAGUGGAUAGAACUGGAACCUUUGCACUAUUGGCACUCCUUACUGUUCAUGGAUCAGUACAACUACGGUGGGAUUCAGGCCAAAACACAAAAUGUAACAUCUGCAGACAGUUCAGACGGUGAUGAUGAUAUUGACAUCGUGUCAAGCUGGAAUAUAGCAGAAUACUUGCCCAAAGCUACACAGGAUCACUUUGUCUUGAUCGUAUCGGAGUUCCUAUAUGUUCCAUGGAAAUACAUGAAAGAACAAGUAGCUUGCCGAGCAGCUAUGAGGGAUGACACCUCAUGCACUCCAUCUAUAACAAUCAUGGCUGCUGAGAAUCUUGAGGGACAGGUCGUUGAUUACCUCCGUGGGCAGAUCGGCACUUAUUUUGCGGAAAAGCUUCUCACAAUUGUGAGCGAUAUACUUCUCCAUUUCAAAGGAAAAGGCAAGUCUGAAUCAGUUGGACCUUCAAAUAGUGAACUUGAUCCUCACUUACAUAAAGGCGGUGCUGCAUUGGAGUUCAUUAAACAUAUAUGUGCUGUUCUUGCUCUCGAUCAGAAUGUUCAGCAUGAUAUUCUGAGAAUGCGAAAGAACUUGUUGAAGUUGGUGCGCGUAAAGGAAUUUGCUCCAGAAGCACAGUUCCAAGAUCCCUAUGCCUCAUUCAUCCUUCCAAACGUGAUUUGCAGCUAUUGCAACGAUUGCCGGGACCUUGACCUCUGCCGCGACUCGACGCUGCAAGGCCACGAGUGGAGGUGCGCGGUGCCGCAGUGCGGGCAGCCGUACCACCGGGAGGAGAUGGAGAACGCGCUGCUGCAGAUUGUGCGGCAGCGAGAGAGGCUGUACCACCUGCAGGACCUGGUGUGCGUCCGGUGCAGGCAGGUGAAGGCGGCCCAUGUGUCAGAGCAGUGCAACUGUGGAGGGUCGUUCCGGUGCAAGGAGGAGGCGCCGCAGUUCCUUGGCAAGAUGCGGGUCUUCCUGAACGUCGCGGUGAGCCAGAAGUUCGAGCUGCUCCAGGAUUGCGUCCGAUGGAUCCUGGAGGUCAGGUGA
This 6648-nucleotide ribosomal RNA is filed under the name Triticum aestivum (bread wheat). Its description in RNAcentral is "partial small subunit ribosomal RNA". The record is from RNAcentral. Lineage: Eukaryota; Viridiplantae; Streptophyta; Magnoliopsida; Poales; Poaceae.